AGACUCCUGUAUCCGUGCUGAAAUUUCGUCAAACAUCAGACCGCACAAUCUGAUUAGACUCCCAAGAUAAGUGAAGCG
Molecule: non-coding RNA, 78 nt
Organism: Schistosoma haematobium
Lineage: Eukaryota; Metazoa; Platyhelminthes; Trematoda; Strigeidida; Schistosomatidae
Source: Rfam